Long non-coding RNA from Homo sapiens (human), 774 nucleotides. Ensembl annotates it as long intergenic non-protein coding RNA 517. The record is from Ensembl. NCBI's taxonomy places the organism in Eukaryota, Metazoa, Chordata, Mammalia, Primates, Hominidae.
AGAACAUCUGGAAGCUGGGGAAAACAUCAGAGCAAGUGAAGAAUGUUCAAAUAUACAGGGACCAUCCAGAGACAUGUGGCCUGCACGUUGAUGAGCAAUGUGAACUGAAUUACUGUUGUAUCUGGAGGAAUUCCAUAAAAGAGAGUAAUCAGUCUAUUUGGAUCCCAACUGCCUUUUCCUGUCCCCAAAGGGCGGGAACUAGUGUGGGUGGAAAAACCCAAUGCAUCCCAAGGCAGUCCUGCCUUCUAAAGCGCCCGCCAGGACAGGCUCCUGGUGGGUUGUAAGGAGAACGGCAGGAAGAAGUGCUCCCAGGAAGCUGCCUAGCCACCGCCACCACCACAGGGUUCCAUCCAACUGCCCACAGUUUUGCUGAACUAGGAAUUGUCCUGAGAACUUUCUUCCACAAUGGCUCAGCAGAUCUCCAUUUUAAACCGGCAGUCUGCAAACUCAGCCCUGAGGACACAGCCAGCCCGCUUCCAGGCAUCUCCUGCGAGCUGCUCCCAGGAAAGAACAGCAAAGCAACCUGGUCCAGUGUAGACAUGCUGUUCAAAUCAUCUGUGGUUGAAUGACUAUUUUUUUAAUUUAAUCUUUUGCAGACAUUUUUGGUAAAACAUUAUAUAAAUGAAUUACUAGAAAAAAAGAAAUACAAAAGUAAAAACAUAUGAAAUAUAAGCCCCAAUCUUUUGUUAUUAGAUUCAAUACACAUAGAAAUAAAUUUUAAUACAUACAAUCAAAACAAACAGCAUGGGAUAAAAUAAAAGAAUCCCAAAACCA